This 362-nucleotide long non-coding RNA is filed under the name Homo sapiens (human). RNAcentral describes it as "HSALNT0370686". The record is from RNAcentral. Lineage: Eukaryota; Metazoa; Chordata; Mammalia; Primates; Hominidae.
GGGAGGCCAUGGAAGGCAGGUAGUAAAUACACUACUUCUUGGCCCAAGGUCGUAUGCAGGUGACCUUCAAGAGGAAAGAGGGAGGUUCACGAGUGCCCUGAAUUCCAUCCACAGAGCUAUUGGAUGUUUGGAGCCCAGGUGAAGAUCCCAGAGCUGGGGAACGAAAGGUUGGAAAAGCCCAGCCAGCUGUGCAAGCCUCCAGAGACACUCUCUUGACUGCGAGGAAAGUGAUAGCCUGCUGGGCUGGACCUGGACUUUGAGACAGAACUUUCGAAUCCGAAGAAGAGAUGAUUUUCAGAUAGUCCUCCUUCCAGGUCAGGUUUAAGAAAAAUAGUGAAGGGAAAUAUUAAUAAACAUGAUCA